Molecule: ribosomal RNA, 483 nt
Filed under: uncultured bacterium
Lineage: Bacteria
Description: bacterial SSU rRNA
Rfam family: Bacterial small subunit ribosomal RNA
Source: RNAcentral
GGGUGAGUAACACGUGGAUAACCUGCCCUUGAAUGGGGAAUAACUUCGGGAAACCGGAGCUAAUACCGCAUACGAUCUGAAGAAGAUGAAAGCCUUCGGCGUUCGAGGAGGGAUCCGCGGCCGAUUAGCUUGUUGGUAGGGUAACGGCCUACCAAGGCGUCGAUCGGUAGCCGGCCUGAGAGGGUGAACGGCCACACUGGCACUGAGACACGGGCCAGACUCCUACGGGAGGCAGCAGUGGGGAAUCUUGGACAAUGGGGGAAACCCUGAUCCAGCGACGCCGCGUGACCGAUGAAGCCUUUCGGGGUGUAAAGGUCUUUCGGCGGGGACAAUGAUGGUACCCGCAUAAGCAGCUGCGGCUAACUACGUGCCAGCAGCCGCGGUAAUACGUAGGCAGCAAGCGUUGUUCGGAAUUACUGGGCGUAAAGCGAGUGUAGGCGGCCGGCCGUGUCCGUUGUGAAAUCUCCCGGCUUAACUGGGAGG